This 1869-nucleotide long non-coding RNA is filed under the name Physcomitrium patens. RNAcentral describes it as "long non-coding RNA (PPAT_LNC002875)". The record is from RNAcentral. Lineage: Eukaryota; Viridiplantae; Streptophyta; Bryopsida; Funariales; Funariaceae.
ACAACAACAACAACAACAGUAGACGACGACAUAGAUCUUACGUUAUCUCCAUAGCCACCAUUCUCGAGCUUCGUGCCCCCCCCCCCCCCCCGCGUUGCAGUAGUGACCGCUCUUCGAAGUCCUUCCCCCUUCAUUGUUGCUGGGUGCAUAUUCGACGCGAUCCUGGCUCCACAUUCUUCGACCUGUCUUCCAUUUCGGACGUUUGGAUGAGAGCCAUUUUGGCUAUCGGGUUCUUUCUCCGAGCUUCUUGCACUCGGUUUAUUGUAAGGUUAUGACAGUUCUGCCGUUUUUUUGCAGCGCAGAAAUCAGUGUUUUCGUCUGCUGCGUUGCGGAAUCGGUGGAAGUUUUGAAAGACAAGUCUCACGCAAUCUUUAGACUCGUCGAUAUGAGACUCAUGACGGCUAAUUCUCAUGGCAGUAUCUUUUUCUUCUGUUUUUUUCAGUCAUGGAAGUGACAAUUCUGACCUGGCUGUUGGAAUCUCAGGGAGAGGUUACGAUUCGAGAAGAUGUUACGCGUUGUCUCAACGGGAUGCAAUAUUUCUCAAAUGGGGAGAAAGAUUUUUGGCGGUUUUUUGAGGUAAUUCUUCUUCUUCCUUCCGCCAUGAUCGAGUCAACGGCCGAAAAUUUCUCUGUGCAUGUCAUUAAUGUCCUUGUUUGAUCCGAAUUUGCUUUAAGAUUGUGUGAAGGAUACAAGCAGCUGCUGUUAAUUGUGCACUCUACAUGGAAUUAUUAUUUGGAAGGGACUCGCUUCAGGCUCGGGAACGCUUGUCGGAGUCGAUGAGUUUUAUGAUCUGACGUAUUCUAGGGGAGUUUUCUGCGCUGCAAGUAAUGCGCCACAUUCCAACCAAGGAGCGAAACUUAUUUUCUGGAACACUGUAAAAUGAGGCAAAUAUACACAUUGACUGGAACGUAGCUCCUCAAAGUCAGACUGCUAAGUUUUACACACACGAGACUCUGAAACAUGUCAUCGACGUAGCCAAAACAUAUCCCUUCUGACCAAUUAGUUGCAGUGGGUUAGAAAAAAGUCCAUCGGCAAGCUGAAUUAGCGAAUGCGUGAGACCACGAAGACGAGAAAUAAAGAAUCGAGGUUUUUCAUGAGAUUGCCUUGUCUGUUAACAUGGUAAAAUUAAGAAGGCGCUCAUCCCGUGUUCAGGUAAAGGGAGAGCUCCUAAGGUAACAUUUCGCGAGGAUUUGACCAAGUGAAGUCCUAAGCUAAUAGGUGAUCCUCGGGUGAAAAAUCAGAAUGUUUGUUCAAAUUUUCAUCGUUUUCACUUUCUUCGGAGGAAGACGAUGACGACGAAGAAGAGGAAGAAGAUGAAGAUGAAGACUUUCCCCCUCGCGUUUUCUUUUUAUCAAAGUUCUUAUUCUUCUUUUUCUCAGUGGAUGAAACCUUGAGACGCUGCAGUGUGGCAGGCUGAUCCUGGGGCUCAAUUUGCACGAGGUUGCCAGGAGUGUUGGCUUGACGAAACUCGGAUUUCUCGGAGGAGCUUGCUUCAACUUCAGCUCCUCUCACGGUAUUGAGUGUCUUUGCUCCAGUAAUUGGACGACUCUUUGACGACGUACUUGAAGAAAUUGUCCUCGACUUUUGAGAAGGAGUCUCCUUCUCUACCUUCCGAUGUCUCAAACCCUUAGAAGGACGACUGCUGGUCGUGUCCUGAGUUUCUCUUAAUUGAAUUUUUAAUGGUUUUGAACGAUUUGGCCUGACGAAUGUGGGGGUGUCCAGGUAAAUAACCUCUCUUAAUGAACCCACUGCCUUUCCACGCUUGUGAGGAGGUUGGGAAACCUCUGCUAACGGUCUUGGGUGUGCAAUCUCUGCCUCCUGAGAAGGGUUUACUCCUUCCUUCGACGUGUGGAAAUUCUUGGCUCGAGG